CCUACGGGUGGCAGCAGUGAGGAAUAUUGGUCAAUGGACGCGAGUCUGAACCAGCCAAGUAGCGUGAAGGAUGACUGCCCUAUGGGUUGUAAACUUCUUUUAUAUGGGAAUAAAAUGUUCCAUGUGUGGGACUUUGUAUGUACCUUAUGAAUAAGGAUCGGCUAACUCCGUGCCAGCAGCCGCGGUAAUACGGAGGAUCCGAGCGUUAUCCGGAUUUAUUGUGUUUAAAGGGAGCGUAGGUGGGUUGUUAAGUCAGUUGUGAAAGUUUGCGGCUCAACCGUAAAAUUGCAGUUGAAACUGGCAGUCUUGAGUACAGUAGAGGUGGGCGGAAUUCGUGGUGUAGCGGUGAAAUGCUUAGAUAUCACGAAGAACUCCGAUUGCGAAGGCAGCUCGCUGGACUGCAACUGACACUGAGGCUCGAAAGUGUGGGUAUCAAACAGGAUUAGAUACCCGAGUAGUC
Molecule: ribosomal RNA, 460 nt
Filed under: uncultured bacterium
Lineage: Bacteria
Description: partial 16S ribosomal RNA
Rfam family: Bacterial small subunit ribosomal RNA
Source: RNAcentral